GGGGUUGUGGCUUAGUGGUAGAGCGCUUGUCUAGCAUGUAGGAGGCCCUGGGUUCCAUCCUCAGCACCACA
RNAcentral lists this transfer RNA (71 nucleotides) under Marmota monax (woodchuck). Its description in RNAcentral is "tRNA.Ala". It matches the Rfam family "tRNA". From Rfam's summary of the family: Transfer RNA (tRNA) molecules are approximately 80 nucleotides in length. Their secondary structure includes four short double-helical elements and three loops (D, anti-codon, and T loops). Further hydrogen bonds mediate the characteristic L-shaped molecular structure. tRNAs have two regions of fundamental functional importance: the anti-codon, which is responsible for specific mRNA codon recognition, and the 3' end, to which the tRNAs corresponding amino acid is attached (by aminoacyl-tRNA synthetases). tRNAs cope with the degeneracy of the genetic code in two manners: having more than one tRNA (with a specific anti-codon) for a particular amino acid; and 'wobble' base-pairing, i.e. permitting non-standard base-pairing at the 3rd anti-codon position. The record is from RNAcentral. Lineage: Eukaryota; Metazoa; Chordata; Mammalia; Rodentia; Sciuridae.